Molecule: long non-coding RNA, 208 nt
Filed under: Mytilus galloprovincialis (Mediterranean mussel)
Lineage: Eukaryota; Metazoa; Mollusca; Bivalvia; Mytilida; Mytilidae
Source: RNAcentral
CAAAGAACGGAUUAGAAAAAGCGCAAAAAAAAUCAAAAACUUAAAAAGAUGAAAAAGUACGCAAAAAGUGCACUACAUGUUAAUGACGUAAUUAAUCUAAUGACGUGAUUCGUUUAUAACGCAUCCAUCGGAUUAUUGCUAAUCCUUAUCCGUGGUUAUCCUCCUGAGUGAGGGAUCACACAUUAUUUAACCAGAAUGUAGGCCAUAU